Pelobates cultripes (western spadefoot toad) is the source of this 233-nucleotide non-coding RNA. The record is from the annotation of a GenBank genome assembly. Lineage: Eukaryota; Metazoa; Chordata; Amphibia; Anura; Pelobatidae.
GUAGGCUAAGUGGUCUUAAAUCCACUAUCCUGACUAUUAAGGAUUACAGGAAAUACAGUAUCUUGCCCUCUUAUCAGCCAGGUCCACUGGGUCACCAAGCACCUCGGGUUUAAAUACCAUGCCACCCUACGCUAAAAAAAAAGGACAAGUGGGAGUCUUCUGGGCUACUGCAAUAAAAAUAAAUAUUUCUACCUAUCUCCAUUAGCCAUACCACUUUUCCUUAUACUCACUGC